RNAcentral lists this ribosomal RNA (629 nucleotides) under uncultured bacterium. RNAcentral describes it as "bacterial SSU rRNA". It matches the Rfam family "Bacterial small subunit ribosomal RNA", at positions 28 to 646 of the family's 1533-position model. The record is from RNAcentral.
AUUGAACGCUGGCGGCAGGCCUAACACAUGCAAGUCGAACGGUAGCACAGAGGAGCUUGCUCCUCGGGUGACGAGUGGCGGACGGGUGAGUAAUGUCUGGGAAACUGCCCGAUGGAGGGGGAUAACUACUGGAAACGGUAGCUAAUACCGCAUAACGUCGCAAGACCAAAGAGGGGGACCUUCGGGCCUCUUGCCAUCGGAUGUGCCCAGAUGGGAUUAGCUAGUAGGUGGGGUAACGGCUCACCUAGGCGACGAUCCCUAGCUGGUCUGAGAGGAUGACCAGCCACACUGGAACUGAGACACGGUCCAGACUCCUACGGGAGGCAGCAGUGGGGAAUAUUGCACAAUGGGCGCAAGCCUGAUGCAGCCAUGCCGCGUGUAUGAAGAAGGCCUUCGGGUUGUAAAGUACUUUCAGCGAGGAGGAAGGUGCUGUGGUUAAUAACCGCAGCAAUUGACGUUACUCGCAGAAGAAGCACCGGCUAACUCCGUGCCAGCAGCCGCGGUAAUACGGAGGGUGCAAGCGUUAAUCGGAAUUACUGGGCGUAAAGCGCACGCAGGCGGUCUGUCAAGUCGGAUGUGAAAUCCCCGGGCUCAACCUGGGAACUGCAUCCGAAACUGGCAGGCUAGAG